This is a long non-coding RNA of Carassius auratus (goldfish), 386 nucleotides long. RefSeq lists it as uncharacterized. The transcript is spliced from 3 exons. The record is from RefSeq and is a predicted model, not a curated record. Lineage: Eukaryota; Metazoa; Chordata; Actinopteri; Cypriniformes; Cyprinidae.
AGAGCUGCGUCCGAAAUCGCAUACUUCCAUACUAUAUAGUAGGCGAAAAACAGUAUGCGAAGCAAGUAGUAUGUCCGAAUUCUUAGAAUUCGAAAAACAGUAGGCGAGAUGUACCCGGAUGGCCUACUACUUCCGGCCGAAUUCCGUAGUAUGCAUAGGAUGGACACUUCUCUAUCCCAUGAGGCCACGGGAGAGGACUCGUCAUACUCAUAUUCGAAAAUAACGGCAAAUCGUGACGCCGCUGUUUUGAAGUAGACUGAUGAAUACAAUCUUGUUCUCAUCCACUGAUGAAACCCUACUCACUGGAAAGCAUAAUUCAGUAAUCUGCUCUUGAAGAGGUGCACACGGUCGUCUGCUGUGACACAGCUGUGGACAGCUUGUCCCAC